RNAcentral lists this transfer RNA (74 nucleotides) under Bacteroidota bacterium. RNAcentral's name for it is "Bacteroidetes bacterium (activated sludge metagenome) tRNA-Arg". It matches the Rfam family "tRNA". Rfam says of the family: Transfer RNA (tRNA) molecules are approximately 80 nucleotides in length. Their secondary structure includes four short double-helical elements and three loops (D, anti-codon, and T loops). The record is from RNAcentral. Lineage: Bacteria; Pseudomonadati; Bacteroidota. RNAcentral also lists the same sequence under 1 other name.
GGUUGCGUAGCUUAACUGAAUAGAGCAUCUGACUACGGAUCAGAAGGUUGGGGGUUUGAAUCCCUCCGCGACCA